UGAAGGUUCUGAAGGAUGGGCUCUCAACUUUACAUGUGCCGUAUUCUUAUGGUUUUGCAAUCAUUCUACUAACAAUACUAGUAAAAGCUGCAACUUUUCCUCUAACCAAAAAACAGGUAGAAUCAUCACUGGCAACGCGAUCUAUGGCACCACAAAUAAAGGCUAUUCAGGAGCGAUAUGCUGGAGACCAGGAGAGGAUCCAACUUGAAACUGCUCGUCUUUAUAAACUAGCUGGCGUGAAUCCACUGGCAGGAUGUCUGCCAACUCUUGCCACUAUACCUAUAUGGAUUGGUCUUUAUAGGGCCCUCUCAAAUGUGGCAAAUGAGGGACUUCUGACAGAAGGCUUCUUCUGGAUACCCUCGCUAGCUGGUCCAACAACAGUUGCUGCCCGUCAAACUGGAAGUGGCACCUCUUGGCUUUUCCCUUUUGUAGAUGGUCAUCCUCCGCUUGGUUGGUCUGAUACUUUUGCGUAUCUUGUCUUGCCUGUAUUGUUGGUUGUCUCCCAGUACAUCUCUAUUCAAAUCAUGCAACCAUCUCAACAGAGUGAUGAUCCAAAUGUGAAGAACUCUCAAGCGAUAACUAAGUUUCUCCCUCUAAUGCUUGGUUACUUUUCG
Molecule: unclassified non-coding RNA, 614 nt
Filed under: Hevea brasiliensis (rubber tree)
Lineage: Eukaryota; Viridiplantae; Streptophyta; Magnoliopsida; Malpighiales; Euphorbiaceae
Source: RNAcentral